Long non-coding RNA from Gymnogyps californianus (California condor), 358 nucleotides. RefSeq lists it as uncharacterized. The transcript has 4 exons. The record is from RefSeq and is a predicted model, not a curated record. Lineage: Eukaryota; Metazoa; Chordata; Aves; Accipitriformes; Cathartidae.
UAGUGACAACUUUUCCUGCCUGGGAACAGACUCCUGAGGCCAUGUCAGGAGAAUGACAGCUCUGCCCUGCUGCGGGGAGCUCCGUCAAGGCCUGGUCUGAAGCACCGGUCUGACAGAUGUGAUGUACCAAUGCUUCCUGCUCCCGUUUAUCAAAAGACCAUCGCUUUUCUGGAUCCCAAGAGAUAUAAGGACAAGUUCAACUUGCGUCGUCCUUCUCAAUUUCCUUAGCUGACAUGUAACUUACAGUUGGAUGCAUCAUAAUCUUCUACAAGAAAAGAAGUAACAAAAAUAUAGGCCCGGCAUUGGGAACCACUAACCCGCAGGUGGAGGUGUCAAUGUGUUCUUGUCUGCUCCUAAG